UCCCCAUAACUCUUGCUUCCUCUCUCAAUCCAACCCCUGGAUACCUUGGCUUUGCUCUCUUUCUUUCUUGGCUUGGCUAUCUAAACGCACAAAUAACAACUUCUACAAACAUAUGCCUAUACUUUUAAAUCAUUUGCUAUAGCUAGGCUCUAGCUGUGCCUUUAAUUACUUGUUGUUGGCAAACCUUAGGAAGAUGAUGGUUGAUAAAGAAGAUUUGGGUUUGAGCUUAAGCUUGAGUUUUCCUCAAAAUGACCAUUCUUUGCAGCUCAAUCUCAUGCCUUCGCUGGUCCCAUCUUCUGCUGAUUCUUUAAAACCCUCAUGGAAUAACACCUUUCCUUCUUCAGAUCCAAACUCUGAUUCGUGCCGCGCUGACACAAGAUCAUUUCUACGAGGAAUCGAUGUGAACAGUCUUCCAUCAACAGUCGAUUUCGAAGAAGAAGCGGGUGUCUCAUCCCCGAACAGCACGAUAUCGAGUGUAAGUGGAAAGCGAGGCGAAAGGGAAGGGAAUGGAGAGGAGCAGGAGACGGAGAGAG
RNAcentral lists this unclassified non-coding RNA (533 nucleotides) under Hevea brasiliensis (rubber tree). Lineage: Eukaryota; Viridiplantae; Streptophyta; Magnoliopsida; Malpighiales; Euphorbiaceae. The record is from RNAcentral.